Molecule: transfer RNA, 82 nt
Filed under: Ulnaria acus
Lineage: Eukaryota; Bacillariophyta; Fragilariophyceae; Fragilariales; Fragilariaceae
Description: tRNA-Leu
Rfam family: tRNA
About the family: Transfer RNA (tRNA) molecules are approximately 80 nucleotides in length. Their secondary structure includes four short double-helical elements and three loops (D, anti-codon, and T loops).
Source: RNAcentral
ACCAAAAUGGUGGAAUUGGUAGACACGCUAGGUUUAGGUUCUAGUUUAAUAUUUAGUAAGGGUUCAAGUCCCUUUUUUGGUA